GACGAACGCUGGCGGCGUGCUUAACACAUGCAAGUCGAACGGAGAGGCCUGCUUUCCCUUGUGGAUUGCGGGUACUCGAGUGGCGAACGGGUGAGUAACACGUGAGUGAUCUGCCCCCAACUUGGGUAUAAGCCUGGGAAACUGGGUCUAAUUCCCGAUAGGACUGCAGGGUGGUGCCUGUGAUGGAAAACGAUUUUCUAGUGGUUGGGGAUGAGCUCGCGGCCUAUCAGCUUGUUGGUGGGGUAAUGGCCUACCAAGGCGGCGACGGGUAGCCGGCCUGAGAGGGUGGACGGCCACAUUGGGACUGAGAUACGGCCCAGACUCCUACGGGAGGCAGCAGUGGGGAAUAUUGCACAAUGGGCGGAAGCCUGAUGCAGCGACGCCGCGUGGGGGAUGACGGCCUUCGGGUUGUAAACUCCUUUCGACCGCGAGGAAGCCACCUGGUUGGAAGGGUGGUGACGGUAGUGGUAGAAGAAGCACCGGCUAACUACGUG
This 494-nucleotide ribosomal RNA is filed under the name uncultured bacterium. Its description in RNAcentral is "partial 16S ribosomal RNA". It matches the Rfam family "Bacterial small subunit ribosomal RNA", at positions 28 to 507 of the family's 1533-position model. The record is from RNAcentral.